RNAcentral lists this ribosomal RNA (796 nucleotides) under uncultured bacterium. Its description in RNAcentral is "bacterial SSU rRNA". It matches the Rfam family "Bacterial small subunit ribosomal RNA", at positions 362 to 1174 of the family's 1533-position model. The record is from RNAcentral.
UAUUGAGCAAUGGGCGCAAGCCUGACCCAGCGACGCCGCGUGAGGGAUGAAGGUCUUCGGAUUGUAAACCUCUUUCAGUGGGGAAGAAGCGAAAGUGACGGUACCCAAAGAAGAAGCACCGGCUAACUAUGUGCCAGCAGCCGCGGUAAUACAUAGGGUGCAAGCGUUGUCCGGAAUUAUUGGGCGUAAAGAGCUCGUAGGUGGUUUAUCACGUCGGAUGUGAAAUUCUGAGGCUCAACCUCGGACCUGCAUUCGAUACGGGCAAACUAGAGUGUGGUAGGGGAGACUGGAAUUCCUGGUGUAGCGGUGGAAUGCGCAGAUAUCAGGAGGAACACCAAUGGCGAAGGCAGGUCUCUGGGCCAUUACUGACACUGAGGAGCGAAAGCGCGGGGAGCGAACAGGAUUAGAUACCCUGGUAGUCCGCGCCGUAAACGGUGGGCACUAGUUGUGGGAACCUUCCACGGUUUCCGCGACGCAGCUAACGCAUUAAGUGCCCCGCCUGGGGAGUACGAUCGCAAGAUUAAAACUCAAAGGAAUUGACGGGGCCCCGCACAAGCAGCGGAGCAUGCGGCUUAAUUCGACGCAACGCGAAGAACCUUACCAAGGCUUGACAUAUAGAGAAAAGUGGCAGAGAUGUCAUGUCCGCAAGGGCUCUAUACAGGUGGUGCAUGGUUGUCGUCAGCUCGUGUCGUGAGAUGUUGGGUUAAGUCCCGCAACGAGCGCAACCCUCGUUCUGUGUUGCCAGCAUUUAGUUGGGGACUCACAGGAGACUGCCGGGGUCAACUCGGAGGAAGGU